RNAcentral lists this long non-coding RNA (1166 nucleotides) under Bemisia tabaci. Its description in RNAcentral is "lncRNA ENSSSA1UGG004286". The record is from RNAcentral. Lineage: Eukaryota; Metazoa; Arthropoda; Insecta; Hemiptera; Aleyrodidae.
CGUUGCAUGAAAUAAAGAGAUCGAAAGCUGUGUCAAAUGCAUUUUUUUUCUUUUUUUCUUUUUCGUAGCGAACUCCUUUUUUCACUUCCCCAAAAUUUGAUAUUUGCUCAGUUGCGAAUGUUAUUUCAGAAUUAUGCGUAGGAGCUAUCGCUUUAUUUUCACGGAAAAAAUUACACUGCUGAUUUAAUCAUUCAAUUGUUUAAAAAAAGUGACAGCAAUGUUUUAAUGUAGAUUUUACAACAAAAAAUGCCACUUUUUAACCACUAUUGUAAGCUAAUUUAACCACGGGGGGUGGUCAAAGUAGCAUUUUUUUGUUGUAAAAUCUACAUUGAAACAUUGCAGACACUUUUUUUAAGCAAUUGAAUGGUAAAAUCAGCAAUUUAAUUUUUCCGUGUUGGCUAAAAACUUAAAAACUGCAAUCCGAGAAUUGGAGAAGAACGUUGCAUGAAAUAAAGAGAUCGAAAGCUGUGUCAAAUGCAUUUUUUUUUCUUUUUUUCUUUUCUUCUUCGUAGCGAAAUCCUUUUUUCACUCUCCCAAAAUUUGAUAUUUGCUCAGUUGCGAAUGUUGUUUCAGAAUUAUGCGCAGGAGCAAUUCGGCGAAUUGCAGUCCGAGGUUUGCCGAGAAUUUUGGUUGAAUCGAUGCGACACAUCGCAGCCAGUUCGAUCGCGCCACAAAUCGCUUCGAAGCUCGCGUUGCGGUUGAGAUGAACGCGAUUCAACUGUUCAAUCGUUUUCUGACGAGGUGGAAAUUUCAAUUAUGAAGUGGAUUUUAACUCCUCAUUCGGGCCCUGAUGCCAGUAUGAGAGGUUACGCGACUGCCUAUCAUGGGAGUGAGACAUCUAUUCUUCUCGGUCGAAAAUCAACAUCAUGUGCAAGAUGAAAUUGUCGGUCUAUAUGUCUGCAGUUAUGUUUACGCUUACCGUGAUCUCAGCAAAUAUCCACGCCGAGGAAGGCGAAGAUUGCCAUCCUGAUUUUCCGGAAUGUGUGCGAAGCUUAUUCAGCUGCUCGCGGGACUGCUUGCCGCAGGAAAACACAAACACAACAUACGAACAUGAAUUGGUUCUGCGGUACAGAGAAUGCCACAAGCAAUGCCAAGAGACCUACGACCUACUCCACAUGACUCCUGAAGAUUGGGUGAAAUACACAGAGGCAGAAAUGGGGAACUAG